AAUACCCCAUAUGCCUCCGGGUGAAAAGUAAUUCGCCUGAAGAUGAGCUCGCGUCAGAUUAGCUAGUUGGUGGGGUAAGAGCCUACCAAGGCGACGAUCUGUAGCUGGUCUGAGAGGAUGAUCAGCCACACUGGGACUGAGACACGGCCCAGACUCCUACGGGAGGCAGCAGUGGGGAAUUUUCCGCAAUGGGCGCAAGCCUGACGGAGCAAGCACGCGUGGGGGAUGACGGCCUAAUGGUUGUAAACCCCUUUUCUCUGGGAAGAAGACUGACGGUACCAGAGGAAUCAGCCUCGGCUAACUCCGUGCCAGCAGCCGCGGUAAUACGGAGGAGGCAAGCGUUAUCCGGAAUUAUUGGGCGUAAAGCGUCCGUAGGUGGUUAUUCAAGUCUGCUGUCAAAGCGUGGGGCUUAACUCCAUAGAGGCAGUGGAAACUGAGUGACUAGAGUGCCGUAGGGGUAGAGGGAAUUCCCGGUGUAGCGGUGAAAUGCGUAGAGAUCGGGAAGAACAUCGGUGGCGAAAGCGCUCUACUGGACGGCAACUGACACUCAGGGACGAAAGCUAGGGGAGCGAAUGGGAUUAGAUACCCCAGUAGUCCUAGCUGUAAACGAUGGAUACUAGGUGUAGCUUGUAUCGACCCGAGCUGUGCCGAAGCUAACGCGUUAAGUAUCCCGCCUGGGGAGUACAGCACGCAAGUGUGACACUCAAAGGUAUUGACGGGGGCCCACAACAAGCGGUGGAGUAUGUGGUUUACUUCGAUGCAACGCGAAGAACCUUAGCAGGGCUUGACAUGUCCGGAAUCGCGAUGAAAGCUGGGACUCUCUUCGGGAGCCAGAACACAGGUGGAGCAUGGCUGUCGUCAGCUCGUGUCGUGAGAUGGUGGGAUAAGUCCCGCAACGAGCGCAACCCUCGUCUUUAGUCGCCAGCAUUAAGUGGCGCACUCAAGAGAGACUGCCGGUGACAAACCGGAGGAAGGUGGGGAUGACGUCAAGUCAGCAUGCCCCUUACGCUCUGGGCGACACACGUACUACAAUGGUCGGG
Molecule: ribosomal RNA, 1040 nt
Filed under: uncultured organism
Description: bacterial SSU rRNA
Rfam family: Bacterial small subunit ribosomal RNA
Source: RNAcentral